Molecule: ribosomal RNA, 165 nt
Filed under: uncultured bacterium
Lineage: Bacteria
Description: partial 16S rRNA
Rfam family: Bacterial small subunit ribosomal RNA
Source: RNAcentral
UAGGGAAUCUUCGGCAAUGGACGAAAGUCUGACCGAGCAACGCCGCGUGAGUGAAGAAGGUUUUCGGAUCGUAAAACUCUGUUGGUAGAGAAGAACGUUGGUGAGAGUGGAAAACUCAUCAAGUGACGGUAACUACCCAGAAAGGGACGGCUAACUACGUGCCAC